UACGUAGGGUGCGAGCGUUAAUCGGAUUUACUGGGCGUAAAGCGUGCGCAGGCGGCCCGUUAAGACAGGUGUGAAAUCCCUGGGCUCAACCUAGGAAUUGCGCUUGUGACUGGCGGGCUCGAGUACGGUAGAGGGGGGUGGAAUUCCCGGUGUAGCAGUGAAAUGCGUAGAGAUCAGGAGGAACACCGAUGGCGAAGGCAGCCCCCUGGGCCUGUACUGACGCUCAUGCACGAAAGCGUGGGGAGCAAACAGG
This 253-nucleotide ribosomal RNA is filed under the name uncultured microorganism. Its description in RNAcentral is "partial 16S ribosomal RNA". It matches the Rfam family "Bacterial small subunit ribosomal RNA", at positions 524 to 776 of the family's 1533-position model. The record is from RNAcentral.